RNAcentral lists this ribosomal RNA (1064 nucleotides) under Staphylococcus aureus. Its description in RNAcentral is "bacterial SSU rRNA". It matches the Rfam family "Bacterial small subunit ribosomal RNA", at positions 50 to 1095 of the family's 1533-position model. Lineage: Bacteria; Bacillati; Bacillota; Bacilli; Caryophanales; Staphylococcaceae. The record is from RNAcentral.
AAAAAAUGCAAGUCGAGCGAACAGACGAGGAGCUUGCUCCUCUGACGUUAGCGGCGGACGGGUGAGUAACACGUGGAUAACCUACCUAUAAGACUGGGAUAACUUCGGGAAACCGGAGCUAAUACCGGAUAAUAUAUUGAACCGCAUGGUUCAAUAGUGAAAGACGGUUUUGCUGUCACUUAUAGAUGGAUCCGCGCCGCAUUAGCUAGUUGGUAAGGUAACGGCUUACCAAGGCAACGAUGCGUAGCCGACCUGAGAGGGUGAUCGGCCACACUGGAACUGAGACACGGUCCAGACUCCUACGGGAGGCAGCAGUAGGGAAUCUUCCGCAAUGGGCGAAAGCCUGACGGAGCAACGCCGCGUGAGUGAUGAAGGUCUUCGGAUCGUAAAACUCUGUUAUUAGGGAAGAACAAAUGUGUAAGUAACUAUGCACGUCUUGACGGUACCUAAUCAGAAAGCCACGGCUAACUACGUGCCAGCAGCCGCGGUAAUACGUAGGUGGCAAGCGUUAUCCGGAAUUAUUGGGCGUAAAGCGCGCGUAGGCGGUUUUUUAAGUCUGAUGUGAAAGCCCACGGCUCAACCGUGGAGGGUCAUUGGAAACUGGAAAACUUGAGUGCAGAAGAGGAAAGUGGAAUUCCAUGUGUAGCGGUGAAAUGCGCAGAGAUAUGGAGGAACACCAGUGGCGAAGGCGACUUUCUGGUCUGUAACUGACGCUGAUGUGCGAAAGCGUGGGGAUCAAACAGGAUUAGAUACCCUGGUAGUCCACGCCGUAAACGAUGAGUGCUAAUGUUUAGGGGGUUUCCGCCCCUUAGUGCUGCAGCUAACGCAUUAAGCACUCCGCCUGGGGAGUACGACCGCAAGGUUGAAACUCAAAGGAAUUGACGGGGACCCGCACAAGCGGUGGAGCAUGUGGUUUAAUUCGAAGCGACGCGAAGAACCUUACCAAAUCUUGACAUCCUCUGACCCCUCUGGAGAUAAGAUUUUCCCCUUCGGGGGACAGAAUGACAAGUGGUGCAUGGUUGUCCUCAACUCAUGUCGUGAAUGUUGCGUUAAUCCCGCACCGA